GUUAGGCCACCCUACAUUCCAUGGCACUCCAGAGGGCAGCGGGGCCCACACUUUAUUUCAACAUGAAUCUUGUUGUAGCUGGGUAAUGAUGUCUGAAGCUGCUGACGUUCUUUGGAACCCCAGGAGGCCAAAUGGAGAUCAGUCAUUAAAGCACAUCAGGAAAGACCUUUGGUUGGCACCAGCUCCUUGGGCAUCAAUUUGAGAGAAUUUUAUAACUCCGAAGAAUAAAGCCUCCAAUCUUUCCAAAUUUCAUGCUCAGAGGAAUACAUGACAGCUGACGCUCAGCACAGUGUACCUUGUGUACUGUCCCAUCCAUCCCACUCAGCUCCGGCAGGCUGUUAGCAGUGCUCGGAUGAUGAACCCCAUCUUGCAUUGCUGUUUCUGAUUGCUGUAGAGCCCUAGAGCUGCACCCCAGCCUCAGGGAGCCUGCAAUCUGCCUGCUGCUAAAUAAAGGCAAGUACCAAGUCAUGACACCCACUGCUGCCCUGUGGUCCAGACCCUACUCAGGUUUUCUACAGCAACCUCGGGGCAGACAUCAGAAUGCUGUAAAGAUGUGAGUCACUUCUGCUCCAUAUGAUGGAGAAUCCUGUCAAAAAGAACCCACUGUCUAUUAAAGUAGGAAGCUUCCUAAAGCUUUCCAACAACACAGCAUGCCUUAAGAGAAUCAAAUGACCCCUGAAUCACAUUGGUGUGUCCUGAAGCAGCGGGGUACUGAGUGGGCAGUAGGAAUGGCAAUAAAAGGUGCAUAAUCUGUAGAGAAUUUAGAGGUAGGCACAGGGUACAAUAGAUAGUGGUACAAUAGAUAGUGUUUUGGUACUGUCAGGUACCAAAACAUAGACGGAAGUAAAAAGUUCUAGUGUUUCUCAGCAUGACAGAUGACUAUAGUUCACAAUAACCUCUUAUAUCUUUCAUGGAUAACUAGAAGGGGCACAAAGCCUCCAAACACAAAGGUACUGAUAAGGAGAUGAGUCCAUUAAUUACACUGACUUGGUCAGUACAUAUUAUAUACCUGUAUUGAAAUAUCACAUUGUACCUCAUAAAUAUGUACAAUAUUUACUGUACAUGUGAAAUUAUCAUUUACAAUUUUUUUAAUGUUUAAGGUGGUGGAAAUGCUAACUACCUUGU
This is a long non-coding RNA of Chinchilla lanigera (long-tailed chinchilla), 1125 nucleotides long. RefSeq lists it as uncharacterized. The transcript has 4 exons. The record is from RefSeq and is a predicted model, not a curated record. NCBI's taxonomy places the organism in Eukaryota, Metazoa, Chordata, Mammalia, Rodentia, Chinchillidae.